RNAcentral lists this ribosomal RNA (497 nucleotides) under uncultured bacterium. RNAcentral describes it as "partial 16S ribosomal RNA". It matches the Rfam family "Bacterial small subunit ribosomal RNA", at positions 28 to 507 of the family's 1533-position model. The record is from RNAcentral.
GAUGAACGCUGGCGGCGUGCCUAAUACAUGCAAGUCGAGCGAACAGAUGAGGAGCUUGCUCCUCUGACGUUAGCGGCGGACGGGUGAGUAACACGUGGAUAACCUACCUAUAAGACUGGGAUAACUUCGGGAAACCGGAGCUAAUACCGGAUAAUAUAUUGAACCGCAUGGUUCAAUAGUGAAAGACGGUUUUGCUGUCACUUAUAGAUGGAUCCGCGCCGCAUUAGCUAGUUGGUAAGGUAACGGCUUACCAAGGCAACGAUGCGUAGCCGACCUGAGAGGGUGAUCGGCCACACUGGAACUGAGACACGGUCCAGACUCCUACGGGAGGCAGCAGUAGGGAAUCUUCCGCAAUGGGCGAAAGCCUGACGGAGCAACGCCGCGUGAGUGAUGAAGGUCUUCGGAUCGUAAAACUCUGUUAUUAGGGAAGAACAAAUGUGUAAGUAACUAUGCACGUCUUGACGGUACCUAAACAGAAAGCCCCGGCUAACUACGUG